GACGAACGCUGGCGGCGUGCUUAACACAUGCAAGUCGAACGAUGAAGCUGGAGCUUGCUCCGGUGGAUUAGUGGCGAACGGGUGAGUAACACGUGAGCAAUCUGCCCUUGACUCUGGGAUAACUGCAGGAAACUGUAGCUAAUACCGGAUACGAGGCUCGAAGGCAUCUUCGGGUCUGGAAAGAAUUUCGGUCUAGGAUGAGCUCGCGGCCUAUCAGCUUGUUGGUGAGGUAAUGGCUCACCAAGGCGACGACGGGUAGCCGGCCUGAGAGGGUGACCGGCCACACUGGGACUGAGACACGGCCCAGACUCCUACGGGAGGCAGCAGUGGGGAAUAUUGCACAAUGGGCGAAAGCCUGAUGCAGCAACGCCGCGUGAGGGAUGAAGGCCUUCGGGUUGUAAACCUCUUUUAGCAGGGAAGAAGCGAAAGUGACGGUACCUGCAGAAAAAGCACCGGCUAACUACGUGCCAGCAGCCGCAGUAA
Molecule: ribosomal RNA, 483 nt
Filed under: uncultured bacterium
Lineage: Bacteria
Description: partial 16S ribosomal RNA
Rfam family: Bacterial small subunit ribosomal RNA
Source: RNAcentral